This 467-nucleotide ribosomal RNA is filed under the name uncultured bacterium. RNAcentral's name for it is "partial 16S ribosomal RNA". It matches the Rfam family "Bacterial small subunit ribosomal RNA", at positions 28 to 506 of the family's 1533-position model. The record is from RNAcentral.
GACGAACGCUGGCGGCGUGCUUAACACAUGCAAGUCGAACGGAAAGGCCCUGCUUUUGUGGGGUGCUCGAGUGGCGAACGGGUGAGUAACACGUGAGUAACCUGCCCUUGACUUUGGGAUAACUUCAGGAAACUGGGGCUAAUACCGGAUAGGAGCUCCUGCUGCAUGGUGGGGGUUGGAAAGUUUCGGCGGUUGGGGAUGGACUCGCGGCUUAUCAGCUUGUUGGUGGGGUAGUGGCUUACCAAGGCUUUGACGGGUAGCCGGCCUGAGAGGGUGACCGGCCACAUUGGGACUGAGAGACGGCCCAGACUCCUACGGGAGGCAGCAGUGGGGAAUAUGGCACAAUGGGCGGAAGCCUGAUGCAGCAACGCCGCGUGCGGGAGGACGGCCUUCGGGUUGCAAACCGCUUUCGCCUGUGACGAAGCGUGAGUGACGGUAAUGGGUAAAGAAGCACCGGCUAACUACGU